GCCUGGAUGGCUCAGUCGGUUGAGCAUCUGACUUUAGCUCAGGUCAUGAUCUCGCGGUCCGUGAGUUCGAGCCCCGCAUGAGGCU
RNAcentral lists this transfer RNA (85 nucleotides) under Felis catus (domestic cat). It matches the Rfam family "tRNA". Rfam says of the family: Transfer RNA (tRNA) molecules are approximately 80 nucleotides in length. Their secondary structure includes four short double-helical elements and three loops (D, anti-codon, and T loops). Further hydrogen bonds mediate the characteristic L-shaped molecular structure. tRNAs have two regions of fundamental functional importance: the anti-codon, which is responsible for specific mRNA codon recognition, and the 3' end, to which the tRNAs corresponding amino acid is attached (by aminoacyl-tRNA synthetases). tRNAs cope with the degeneracy of the genetic code in two manners: having more than one tRNA (with a specific anti-codon) for a particular amino acid; and 'wobble' base-pairing, i.e. permitting non-standard base-pairing at the 3rd anti-codon position. Lineage: Eukaryota; Metazoa; Chordata; Mammalia; Carnivora; Felidae. The record is from Rfam by way of RNAcentral.